Molecule: ribosomal RNA, 497 nt
Filed under: uncultured bacterium
Lineage: Bacteria
Description: partial 16S ribosomal RNA
Rfam family: Bacterial small subunit ribosomal RNA
Source: RNAcentral
GAUGAACGCUGGCGGCGUGCCUAAUACAUGCAAGUCGAGCGAACAGAUGAGGAGCUUGCUCCUCUGACGUUAGCGGCGGACGGGUGAGUAACACGUGGAUAACCUACCUAUAAGACUGGGAUAACUUCGGGAGACCGGAGCUAAUACCGGAUAAUAUAUUGAACCGCAUGGUUCAAUAGUGAAAGACGGUUUUGCUGUCACUUAUAGAUGGAUCCGCACCGCAUUAGCUAGUUGGUAAGGUAACGGCUUACCAAGGCAACGAUGCGUAGCCGACCUGAGAGGGUGAUCGGCCACACUGGAACUGAGACACGGUCCAGACUCCUACGGGAGGCAGCAGUAGGGAAUCUUCCGCAAAGGGCGAAAGCCUGACGGAGCAACGCCGCGUGAGUGAUGAAGGUCUUCGGAUCGUAAAACUCUGUUAUUAGGGAAGAACAAAUGUGUAAGUAACUAUGCACGUCUUGACGGUACCUAAUCAGAAAGCCACGGCUAACUACGUG